This 427-nucleotide ribosomal RNA is filed under the name uncultured bacterium. Its description in RNAcentral is "partial 16S ribosomal RNA". It matches the Rfam family "Bacterial small subunit ribosomal RNA", at positions 355 to 774 of the family's 1533-position model. The record is from RNAcentral.
UGGGGAAUAUUGGACAAUGGGCGAAAGCCUGAUCCAGCCAUGCCGCGUGUGUGAAGAAGGUCUUCGGAUUGUAAAGCACUUUAAGUUGGGAGGAAGGGCAUUAACCUAAUACGUUAGUGUUUUGACGUUAACGACAGAAUAAGCACCGGCUAACUCUGUGCCAGCAGCCGCGGUAAUACAGAGGGGGCAAGCGAUAAUCGGAAUUACUGGGCGUAAAGCGCGCGUAGGUGGUUUGUUAAGUUGGAUGUGAAAUCCCCGGGCUCAACCUGGGAACUGCAUUCAAAACUGACUGACUAGAGUAUGGUAGAGGGUGGUGGAAUUUCCUGUGUAGCGGUGAAAUGCGUAGAUAUAGGAAGGAACACCAGUGGCGAAGGCGACCACCUGGACUAAUACUGACACUGAGGUGCGAAAGCGUGGGGAGCAAACA